AGCACCCAUGGCAGCCCGUCAAGCAGGAGCCGCAGUCGCCCACCGGCCCCCAGAGGAACCUGCCCGUCGGCGUCCCUAUCCCGACCAGCGGUCCCGCAAAUGUUCGCAGCUUCAUCCCUCGUGCAGCCGGGCAGCAGGGCCCGAGAUUUUAAAUGAAAACUAGCUGCCAGUUUGGACAGGCAUGUGUUUUGUGGCACGCAGCCAUGUGAGGAAGCAGUGGAGAAAUGAGUGAAGCAUAAGUCCUAACAUGUACAUCACAGUGUGUAUCAUGUUAACCUUUUGUCUUAUGUAAACUUUUGUGUGGGAUAACUGAAUUAAGAGAAUUGACCUCUUUGGUGUUGUGUUUCCAAAAGUACUGAUAGAAUGUAAUGUAUUGCUAGUAGUUGCUGAAGUUAGAAAUGUAGCUGGCAGAUGUUUUCCCAUGUACAGGGUAUUACACUGUGUCCAUAGAGAAAGGGCACUGUGAUAAACUUUGCCAGUUACUACUGACUACAUACAUUUAUCUUGACUGUAAUGUCAGUGUCCCCCAUGUGUGUCCAUAUGUGUGAUACUGCACAUACCCAAAAUGAGGAGGAAAAAUAAAAUUAAAAGAAAGUGCAGAAGAAAAUAUAAUCUUUCCAGUAGUCUGUUAUAUGCAGAAAUUGAUGUAUAUUCUUUUUAAGAACUAUAAGAAAUAAUGUGAAGCUUGUGUAGUUUUAAAUGUUAAUGUUGUUAUCAUAUAUAUUUUAUUGUAAAGGAAACAUUAUUAUCAGUCAUGUGUAUACAAACAUGUAGUUUCUUUUUUUACUUGGCAAAGAAAGCUGAAGACCUGGCCAGAAAAGCAUCACACUCUGUUUACGCCCAAAAGCAAAAGCGGUAAUAGCAUACACUCCAAUGUUUUUAGAAGUGUAGCACUUACUUUCUACUAUGGCCGAGUCUACGGUUUCCUUUGUCGGAUAACAAUGUAAUAAUGUGCGUGUGCGCCUGCAUGUGUGCACACCCAGGCGUGUGUGCGCAUGCUCAUGCCCACACACACACACACACACACACACACACACAAACACACACACACACACACACAAACUCGAGGAAAAUGUAGUUAUGUAUUGCAUGUUGUGUGAUUGAUGUUUUUGUCUUCUUGAUUACUAGUACUGCCAGAUAGAUGGCAUAAACUUUUGAUGAGACUGUAUGCUGUCAGAAGCUGCUUAUAAAUAAGCACACUCAAUACUGUCUUUGUUUCAUUACAGUUCUGGUAACUGUCAAAUAUAUGAGUUGAUGAAUUAAUUACUUCAAAUAUCAGACUCAAACUGGUGUUGGAGUUGUUAAUGUAAAGUGAGGAUCAAUUACGUGCCAAAUCAGUUAGACUGUACUAAUUUUGAAAGGCUUGUCAACUGAACAGUUCUCAUACCAGGGUGUUAGAAUUUUACAAUGUACAUUGGUUACACCGUUUUUGUGUUUACUAGGCUGUAAGCCAAAUGUUCUAAAAUACAAAAUAUAUAUUCACUGUCAUAAUAUGCUAGUGCAUCCAAGAGAAAGUGUGAAAUCUGCUUCACUUUCAGUUGUUGGCUAGAAUUAGUAUAAAGACAUUAUAGUGUUAGUAGGCUGCUGAAUGUUAACACAAAUGGCCAAUUAAGAUAUCUUUAGAUAUCUUCAGAAGAUUUUCAGCACAAACAAGUCAUCAUUUCCUGGACCAAUAUUUGGCUGGGAACUCUCAGGCAUUUUCAAGGCAAUUUGAAGUAUAUCACAGGAACACAAUCUACAAUUAUUUAUUCAUCAAGAUCCGCAUCUGCUUCUUUUACACUUGGGUCAAAAUGUGACGUGUUGUGCUAUCUCACAAUGCAUGCAUCACAAAUGAAACAGUGCAUCAGUUGUGUGCAUCAGAUACAAAAUAAUGCAGUGCAGUCUGGCAGAAAGUUCUGCGCUUAAAUGAUUUACCAGUCCUUUCUUUUAAUAGCUGCGAUACAGAAAUAUCUGUAUACCACCAUGGUUCAGAGGUUGCAGAGAUCAACAAAUGAAACCUCAAAUUGGUGGCAGGUGUCACAAAUAUCAAGUGAGAAUGGUUCUGAAUGGAAAAUGCUCUUAGAAAAAAAGACAAUGGAAUUCAUGAAUUGAUCUGAGAUCUGAUAAUUCUCUGUUUGCAAGCCUUAUUGGAUAUUUGAUCCUCUGGGACAACUUAAAAAACCACACUCAAGAUAGAAUAUUUAAACAUGUUUAGUCUUGAUGUGUUUAUAGUGUAAAUUAUGGGCCACAUUGUUGAUCAGUUCCUUUGUGCAAGAGAAACACUGCUGUAUUUGAAAGGUUUCUCCAGCUUUAUAUACUCUUUGCUCAUUUUGUAUGUUCCUAUGCAUUACAUAAUAUAGCUAAACAUCGCAACAGAUCCUUGUAGUUAUCGAUGUUUUCUUUGAAGAAGUGUUACAGUAGGUAUAUUAAAAGGAAAAAAAUUGGUUGUUGAUUUAUAAGAAGACAGAACAGGUGAUCAGUACUUGCGUUCAGUAGGCAAAAUUCCAAGUAAUAUUGUAAGACACACAAAAAAACUAGCUUUCACAGCUCUUAAUUCCUUUCUCGGGAAGUAAGGAGGGAUAUAUCUGGAAGGAUAGGCAAGUGGAGUUGUCCAGUAACAAGGAUACCACCCAGCAAUUGGAUUUUUGUAAUUUUUUUUAUAUUCAUGGAACUUGAAGUUCAUAAUUCAAAUAUCAAUAUCCCAAAGCAGGUUGAUGCAUCUCUAAAAAAAUUCUUGACAAACUUGACUUUGCAGUUUUCCAGUGAACUUGAGGAACUUUAACACCCUAAAAUGUUGGCAAUUUUCACAACAGGCAGUGUGGAUCACUGGGUAGCAUUGGAUCACGUAAUCAAUGGAUUGCUGGUUCGAAUCUCGCAGUGACUUUUUUCCAUUCAGUUUGAAUACCUACACAUUUAAAAAUAAAAUUCAUCAAAUAUAUGCUAAUUAUCACACAUCUAAUCAUUGUUUUUUGUGAGAAAUGCACAUCAUCUUGCUUUUAAUUACAUUCCGCAUCCAAAAUUCCAGACGUUCAUUGAAAAUAUAACUUCUUAACUGUCAAUAUAUUAGUAAAGAUUGUUAAUAAAUAUAGGAUGUUGCUUUUAAUGUAAAUGCUACUUAUGUUUAUAAUAUUUUUUAAUUUUAAUGAUCUUUUAUAUAGUAAUUAUAUUGAAGAAUUUAUAUUUGCAAUGGAAAGUGUAAUUUUACGUGUGUUAUGUAAUUAGAGACAAGAAGACAUACAUUUUUCAUAAAAAUAAUGAUUAGAUAUGUGCUAAUUAGCACAUAUUUGAUUAAUGUUAUAUUAAAUUAUGUAGUUAUUCAAAGUGAAUGUGGGAAAAAGUCCAUGGCGAGAUCGGAACGAGCGGUUCUAUGGUUACCUAGUUACCAUUCUCCAACACUGCUGAGUGGCCCAUGGUGCCUAUCAUGAAAAUCACCUUCAUUUUUGGGAAUUAAUUCUUGAAAUUCCAUGGAAAAUUUCAAAGUAGAUUUUCUUGAAAAUUUUUGUAGAGUUCCAACAAAUGGCUUUGACAUAUUUGAGUUUUGAACUCAAAUAGGUUCCUCUGAAGCUGCAGUCUGAAUGACCUGUCACUUCUUUUCAACCUCCCAAAGCCAAUAUCUUUUUCUUCCUGAAAAGAAACUAAUCAUUCUGCAGCCUAGGUAUAAUUUUUUUAGCUCUAUGUAUUGAUAGAACUUCGAAUUUUGUCUCCUGAAAAUAAGAAUUGGGCAACAGUUCCAUUUCUUUAUAAUUCUACAAAUAUAUGUGCAUUUGUAAAUAACUAGUCUGGAAUUUUUGUCAAUAUAACAACAGUUUUUGUUGUCAUAUAGUUCAGCAGCAAACCAAAAGAUGUUUGUUGUCUGUAUUUUAGUUGUGUUCUUCUUCAGCAUAUACAGGGUGUCCCAGCAGGAAUGGUCAGUAUUCAGGGAACAAUCAUUCAAAGCAAAAAAUUGUAUUUAGUGCGGGCUCUGAAAUGCGUUCCUUAAAAGCCAUGAGCACUUGUUUGGUAAAAAAGAUGUGUUUCUCAGUAGUGAAGAUGAAAAGUGCUCAUAGUGUGUAUGGUAUGCACUUUAGAGGCCAUGUUUACUAGGCUUUUAUGCUUUGACCAGUCUUCGUGGGACACCCUGUAUAUGACUAGCAGAAUUAUAAUUUUCAUGUUAUUUUUAAAUUUUACAUUUUUUGUAAGUACCUGAUUGCAGAGAGUAGUUUUUUACUUUUAUUUGUAUUCUGUAUCACCGUACUAUUAAAUGUUGAUUGUGCUAUAAUCUUCCUGUUCAAUAAAAGUGAGCACCAGCUCUAAAUUGUGUCAAAUUAACUGAAUAUGAUGCCAGUCACAGGAGAUCUUUGAGGAAGUAAUCACUUGCCACUCAAAAGGCCUGUGCCUAAGGCACUUGUCUCCCAGUGUGAAACUAUGUAUAUUACCCAUGUUGUAGGUCAACCAUUCUUAUCUGUUUUGGUUAUUUGAGCUACUCUUCCUUCCUCUUUCCCUUCCUUUCGAAAACUAUGAAUUAGCAAACUGUCCUUUUAAAUGACCAGUGUAAAAUGUGAUGUUUGUCUUGAGGACUGGCACUUUUCUCAGAGCACACAUUUCUCUCCUCCAGUUCGGUAUGCAGAAGAAAGAAACAGUUACGUUGACUUUAAC
Long non-coding RNA from Schistocerca serialis cubense, 4614 nucleotides. RefSeq lists it as uncharacterized. The transcript is spliced from 3 exons. The record is from RefSeq and is a predicted model, not a curated record. NCBI's taxonomy places the organism in Eukaryota, Metazoa, Arthropoda, Insecta, Orthoptera, Acrididae.